AGUGAACGCUGGCGGCAGGCCUAACACAUGCAAGUCGAGCGGCAGCACAGUAAGAGCUUGCUCUUACGGGUGGCGAGUGGCGGACGGGUGAGGAAUACAUCGGAAUCUACUUUUUCGUGGGGGAUAACGUAGGGAAACUUACGCUAAUACCGCAUACGACCUACGGGUGAAAGCAGGGGAUCUUCGGACCUUGCGCGAUUGAAUGAGCCGAUGUCGGAUUAGCUAGUUGGCGGGGUAAAGGCCCACCAAGGCGACGAUCCGUAGCUGGUCUGAGAGGAUGAUCAGCCACACUGGAACUGAGACACGGUCCAGACUCCUACGGGAGGCAGCAGUGGGGAAUAUUGGACAAUGGGCGCAAGCCUGAUCCAGCCAUACCGCGUGGGUGAAGAAGGCCUUCGGGUUGUAAAGCCCUUUUGUUGGGAAAGAAAAGCAGCAGGUUAAUACCCCGCUGUUCUGACGGUACCCAAAGAAUAAGCACCGGCUAACUUCGUG
This 492-nucleotide ribosomal RNA is filed under the name uncultured bacterium. Its description in RNAcentral is "partial 16S ribosomal RNA". It matches the Rfam family "Bacterial small subunit ribosomal RNA", at positions 29 to 507 of the family's 1533-position model. The record is from RNAcentral.